GAUGUGAUCGAACCAGCCAGGCCGUCUUAAGCCGUAUGAAUGGACGUUGACACAGCAAUGAAAACAGCGUUAUUUCACGCCCGUCGAUCGAUC
This 93-nucleotide small nucleolar RNA is filed under the name Trypanosoma cruzi. RNAcentral's name for it is "CD small nucleolar RNA (snoRNA)". It matches the Rfam family "Small nucleolar RNA TBR5". Rfam says of the family: TBR5 is a member of the C/D class of snoRNA which contain the C (UGAUGA) and D (CUGA) box motifs. Most of the members of the box C/D family function in directing site-specific 2'-O-methylation of substrate RNAs. The record is from RNAcentral. Lineage: Eukaryota; Euglenozoa; Kinetoplastea; Trypanosomatida; Trypanosomatidae.